CGCGUAGGCUGCGGGGCAAGUCGGGUGUGAAAUCUCAGAGCUCAACUCUGAAACUGCACUCGAUACUGCUUUGCUCGAGGACUGGAGAGGAGAUUGGAAUUCACGGUGUAGCAGUGAAAUGCGUAGAUAUCGUGAGGAAGACCAGUGGCGAAGGCGGAUCUCUGGACAGUUCCUGACGCUGAGGCGCGAAGGCCAGGGGAGCAAACG
This 207-nucleotide ribosomal RNA is filed under the name uncultured bacterium. RNAcentral describes it as "partial 16S ribosomal RNA". It matches the Rfam family "Bacterial small subunit ribosomal RNA", at positions 568 to 774 of the family's 1533-position model. The record is from RNAcentral.